GACGAACGCUGGCGGCGUGCUUAACACAUGCAAGUCGAACGGACAGGCCCUGUGUUUGUGGGGUGCUCGUGAGGCGAACGGGUGAGUAUCACGUGAGUAACCUCCCCUUGACUUUCGGAUAUCUUCACGAAACUGGGGCUCAUAUACGAUAGGAGCUCCUGAUGCAUGGGGGGGGUUGGUAAGUUUCGGCUGUUGUGGCUGGUAGGGCAGCUUAUCCGCUUGUUUGUCGAGUAGUUGCUUACCCAGGCUUUGACGGAUAGCCGGCCUGGGAGGGUGAACGCCCACCUUGCGACUGAGAUACGGAGCAGUAUCCAACGGGACGCAGCAGUGGAGAGUAUUACACAACAACCGGGAGCCUGAUGCAGCAACGCCGCGUGCGGGAUGACCGCCUUCGAGUUGUAAACCGCUUUCUAAUUUGACGAAGCGUGAGUGACGGUAAUGGGUAAAGAAGCACCGGCUAACUACGUG
RNAcentral lists this ribosomal RNA (468 nucleotides) under uncultured bacterium. RNAcentral's name for it is "partial 16S ribosomal RNA". It matches the Rfam family "Bacterial small subunit ribosomal RNA", at positions 28 to 507 of the family's 1533-position model. The record is from RNAcentral.